GAAACAAGGCCAAAAACCGUCCCUCAUCCCUCAUUUUCUUCUUUUCUUUUGGCCUAAGAGAGAGAUAGCAAAAUCUCUCAACCCUCUCGACGCGGCCACCGCCGAAGAAGGCGCCGGUCGACACCGAUCACCGUUCAUCGGCGAAGAGAAGGAGAAAGAAAACCACCAAAUAAAGUAUUCUCAUAUACUGAAUAAGGAUUCAGGCUCCGAUUAGCCCAAAAGUGCCUCAAACGCCGUAAAUCUAAGGGGAUCUCUUCGGUUUCUUUGACCCCGACAACCCUUGAGAUAACCGGCGAGCGUCGAGGUAGUUCCCUUUUUUUGUUGAUAUAUGGUGAUUUGGUUAGUUGACGAGGAGAGGGGAACUAUGGUGAUAGGGCAUGGUGAGUUCAGGAUGGCGAUAUGGGCACGGGUAAGGACUUGGCAGGGAUUUGGUGGCAGCAGGGUAUGUUGUGGUGGCAGGACGACUGGGGGCCUCAGGGAAACCGACCUGGCAUGCGCAUGGGAGUUGGAAGGACACGUGACGGCGACGAGCUCGUGACAGCAAGGGAAGCCCUAAUUCGGGUUGCAUCCAUCCGUUAGAUGGGGAGUGGCUGCGAAGAGAAGGGUUUAAAAACCCUAAUCAUUGGUUGAUCUAUGUCGUUAGAUCAUCCCCAUAUCUAACAUCUCAUGUUUGUACGACGCUAGGCAAAAAACCCUAGCGGGUUUGGGCUCUCAAACAGACUUCACUCCUACUGAGCUAGCUGAUCUGACGAGUCUGGGCCCAAACCGAACAUGCUGCUCCAAUUGCCCUGGUAUCCUAGGCUUUGUACAUUUGAUCUGUAAAAUAAUAAAUAAAUAAAAUAAAAGUAUUUUAUUAAUG
This is a long non-coding RNA of Hibiscus syriacus, 859 nucleotides long. RefSeq lists it as uncharacterized. The transcript is spliced from 2 exons. The record is from RefSeq and is a predicted model, not a curated record. Lineage: Eukaryota; Viridiplantae; Streptophyta; Magnoliopsida; Malvales; Malvaceae.